UGUUCAGUGACAGUUUACUGUAAUAUGGAUUUAAAGUGUAAUGUGAUCUUCAUUAAUUUAAGGAACAGAUAUACGGAUAUAGAUGCCUUCGUCACACAACUUUGUAGUCUACGAUAGCUGAAAGACAAAAUCCUUAUGCUGCAUCAUACACCUGUAUCUUGAAACGUAACCUGAGAAAGAUAUUUGCAAAGAGAAAAAAUGAUGCACUAACAAGAUCUUUGUCUCUUCAGAAGGAUAUAUGCAAAAUCAAAAGAUUGUUGUAUUUUUAUGCAGAAAAAAGUUUGAUAUGUUCA
Saccostrea cuccullata (small rock oyster) is the source of this 293-nucleotide long non-coding RNA. RefSeq lists it as uncharacterized. NCBI's taxonomy places the organism in Eukaryota, Metazoa, Mollusca, Bivalvia, Ostreida, Ostreidae. The record is from RefSeq and is a predicted model, not a curated record. The transcript has 2 exons.